CGCCAGUUUUGGCGGAGCCAUCCUUGGGAUACCACCCUUGUAGUACUGGGACUCUAACCAUAGGCCAUGAAUCUGGUCUUGGGACACUGUCAGGUGGGCAGUUUGACUGGGGCGGUCGCCUCCCAAAAGGUAACGGAGGCGCUCAAAGGUUCUCUCAGUACGGUCGGAAAUCGUACGUAGAGUGUAAAGGCAAAAGAGAGCUUGAUUGCAAGACAUACAGGUCGAGCAAGGAUGAAAAUCGGACUUAGUGAUCCGGUGGUUCUGCGUGGAAGGGCCAUCGCUCAACGGAUAAAAGCUACCCUGGGGAUAACAGGCUUAUCUCCCCCAAGAGUCCACAUCGACGGGGAGGUUUGGCACCUCGAUGUCGGCUCAUCACAUCCUGGGGCUGUAGUAGGUCCCAAGGGUUGGGCUGUUCGCCCAUUAAAGUGGUACGCGAGCUGGGUUCAGAACGUCGUGAGACAGUUCGGUCCCUAUCCGUCGCAGGCGUAGGAAAUUUGAGAAGACCUGUCCUUAGUACGAGAGGACCGGGAUGGACGUACCUCUGGUGUACCAGUUGUUCUGCCAAGGGCAUGGCUGGGUAGCUAUGUACGGAAUGGAUAAGCGCUGAAAGCAUCUAAGCGCGAAGCCAACUUCAAGAUAAGAUUUCCCACCGCAAGGGUAAGACCCCAGAAAGACUAUCUGGUUGAUAGGUCGAAGGUGUAAGUGCAGCAAUGUAUUUAGCUUAUCGAUACUAAUAGGUCGAGGACUUGACCAAAUU
This 757-nucleotide ribosomal RNA is filed under the name Clostridioides difficile. RNAcentral's name for it is "partial 23S ribosomal RNA". It matches the Rfam family "Bacterial large subunit ribosomal RNA", at positions 2169 to 2925 of the family's 2925-position model. The record is from RNAcentral. Lineage: Bacteria; Bacillati; Bacillota; Clostridia; Peptostreptococcales; Peptostreptococcaceae.